Molecule: ribosomal RNA, 224 nt
Filed under: uncultured bacterium
Lineage: Bacteria
Description: partial 16S ribosomal RNA
Rfam family: Bacterial small subunit ribosomal RNA
Source: RNAcentral
GAUCCUGGCUCAGGAUGAGCGCUAGCUACAGGCUUAACACAUGCAAGUCGAGGGGCAGCAUGGUCUUAGCUUGCUAAGACUGAUGGCGACCGGCGCACGGGUGAGUAACACGUAUCCAACCUGCCGUCUACUCUUGGACAGCCUUCUGAAAGGAAAAUUAAUACAAGAUGGCAUCAUGAGUCCGCAUGUUCACAUGAUUAAAGGUAUUCCGGUAGACGAUGGGG